Molecule: ribosomal RNA, 461 nt
Filed under: uncultured Enterobacteriaceae bacterium
Lineage: Bacteria; Pseudomonadati; Pseudomonadota; Gammaproteobacteria; Enterobacterales; Enterobacteriaceae
Description: bacterial SSU rRNA
Rfam family: Bacterial small subunit ribosomal RNA
Source: RNAcentral
CCGCACAAGCGGUGAGCAUGUGGUUUAAUUCGAUGCAACGCGAAGAACCUUUACCUGGUCUUGACAUCCACGGAAGUUUUCAGAGAUGAGAAUGUGCCUUCGGGAACCGUGAGACAGGUGCUGCAUGGCUGUCGUCAGCUCGUGUUGUGAAAUGUUGGGUUAAGUCCCGCAACGAGCGCAACCCUUAUCCCUUUGUUGCCAGCGGUCCGGCCGGGAACUCAAAGGAGACUGCCAGUGAUAAACUGGAGGAAGGUGGGAUGACGUCAAGUCAUCAUGGCCCUUACGGCCAGGGCUACACACGUGCUACAAUGGCGCAUACAAAGAGAAGCGACCUCGCGAGAGCAAGCGGACCUCAUAAAGUGCGUCGUAGUCCGGAUUGGAGUCUGCAACUCGACUCCAUGAAGUCGGAAUCGCUAGUAAUCGUGGAUCAGAAUGCCACGGUGAAUACGUUCCCGGGCCUU